This 25-nucleotide microRNA is filed under the name Ectocarpus siliculosus. RNAcentral describes it as "esi-miR8619". Lineage: Eukaryota; Phaeophyceae; Ectocarpales; Ectocarpaceae. The record is from miRBase by way of RNAcentral.
CCAAGAUCGGGUGCACCCGGUGGAA